GUUAACUUUUACAAAAAUCUUCUCCUCUGAAACUACUGGGCCAAAUUAAACCAAACUUGGCCACAAUCAUCAUUGGGGUAUCUAGUUUUAAAAAAGUGUCCGGUGACCCGGCCAACCAACCAAGAUGGCCGCCAUGGCUAAAAAUAGAACAUAGGGGUAAAAUGCAGUUUUUGGCUUAUAACUCAAAAACCAAAGCAUUUAGAGCAAAUCUGACGGGGUUAAAUUGUUUAUCAGGUCAAGAUCUAUCUGCCCUGAAAUUUUCAGAUGAAUCGGACAAAUUGUUGUUGGGUUGC
This 293-nucleotide long non-coding RNA is filed under the name Mytilus galloprovincialis (Mediterranean mussel). Lineage: Eukaryota; Metazoa; Mollusca; Bivalvia; Mytilida; Mytilidae. The record is from RNAcentral.